AGAGUUUGAUCCUGGCUCAGAUUGAACGCUGGCGGCAUGCCUUACACAUGCAAGUCGAACGGUAACGCGGGGCAACCUGGCGACGAGUGGCGAACGGGUGAGUAAUGUAUCGGAACGUGCCCAGUAGUGGGGGAUAGCCCGGCGAAAGCCGGAUUAAUACCGCAUACGACCUAGGGGUGAAAGAGGGGGAUCGCAAGACCUCUCGCUAUUGGAGCGGCCGAUAUCAGAUUAGGUAGUUGGUGGGGUAAAGGCCUACCAAGCCGACGAUCUGUAGCUGGUCUGAGAGGACGACCAGCCACACUGGGACUGAGACACGGCCCAGACUCCUACGGGAGGCAGCAGUGGGGAAUUUUGGACAAUGGGCGCAAGCCUGAUCCAGCCAUGCCGCGUGCGGGAAGAAGGCCUUCGGGUUGUAAACCGCUUUUGUCAGGGAAGAAAUCCCUUGGGCUAAUACCCCGGGGGGAUGACGGUACCUGAAGAAUAAGCACCGGCUAACUACGUGCCAGCAGCCGCGGUAAUACGUAGGGUGCAAGCGUUAAUCGGAAUUACUGGGCGUAAAGCGUGCGCAGGCGGUUCUAUAAGACAGAUGUGAAAUCCCCGGGCUCAACCUGGGAACUGCAUUUGUGACUGUAGAGCUGGAGUGCGGCAGAGGGGGAUGGAAUUCCGCGUAGCAGUGAAAUGCGUAGAUAUGCGGAGGAACACCGAUGGCGAAGGCAAUCCCCUGGGCCUGCACUGACGCUCAUGCACGAAAGCGUGGGGAGCAAACAGGAUUAGAUACCCUAGUAGUCC
Molecule: ribosomal RNA, 789 nt
Filed under: uncultured bacterium
Lineage: Bacteria
Description: bacterial SSU rRNA
Rfam family: Bacterial small subunit ribosomal RNA
Source: RNAcentral